GCUGGUAUUGCCUAUGAUUACACUCUGCUGUCUGAAACACGUCUGUGGAUUUCCAUCAGCAUUCGUCACUACCACUGAGGCAUCAGC
This 87-nucleotide small nucleolar RNA is filed under the name Oryzias latipes (Japanese medaka). RNAcentral's name for it is "Small nucleolar RNA SNORD70 (ENSORLG00000021699.2)". The record is from RNAcentral. Lineage: Eukaryota; Metazoa; Chordata; Actinopteri; Beloniformes; Adrianichthyidae.